CCUCAAGUCCUUUAUCAUGUGACCCUCCUCCCCCAAGCCCUUCUCUCUCUCUCUCUCUGUGGAACGGCUGAGUUCUUUAAUCCAAAAGGGUUCCUAUCUACAUAACACCACCUAUCUCUCCUACCGUUGCCCGUUAGUGACAUGGUGGGGCUUAUCUGUUCGUGAGUUGUGACCGUUCGAUCAUUUUGACAAGUAAACCAUUGAUGGAAUGGAUAAAGAUAACAGAAAGUGAUGAAGUUUGUAAUGUGGACCGUUCCAAUCCAAUGAAGAUCAGGAGAUUGCAGGCAGCAGUAAAGUUCAGGGGAGAUUGGGGGAUUACGAAUACGAAGGACAAGCUUUUGUUUGAAAGCUCCUGAGUGCUACUACCCUGUGCAAAAGCCGCACUUUUCCACAAGAAUCACUUCUCUCUACUAUGGGAGUGUGUUUCUUGUUCAAUUGUAGAGGCUAGGCAAGCAGGAAAGAAACAACCAAUUAGAAUCUCUCUAUUGGUUCAAUUAAAAGAGGGCAAGCAUGUGGCGCAACAAUUAAGUUGCACUAUUGUAACAUGUUGGUCAUAGGUUUGAAACUUGUGAAGCAGGGGAAUAAGACUGUGUACAUUUGCCCCUCCCAAAUUCUAUAGUGGCUAGAGCCUCAUUGUAUCAUUACAAGGGAGUUGGCUUAGGCAUAUUGGUGAUGGCGGAAACGGCUUGGAUUCUUUUGAUCACAUUGUACGUAUGAUAGCGUUGAAUGGAAUAAUUUUUUCCAAUAG
This is a long non-coding RNA of Macadamia integrifolia, 748 nucleotides long. RefSeq lists it as uncharacterized. The record is from RefSeq and is a predicted model, not a curated record. The transcript is spliced from 2 exons. NCBI's taxonomy places the organism in Eukaryota, Viridiplantae, Streptophyta, Magnoliopsida, Proteales, Proteaceae.